AUUGAACGCUGGCGGCAGGCCUACCACAUGCAAGUAGAACGAGUGGCGGACGGGUGAGUAAUGUCUGGGAACCUGCAUGAUGGAGGGGGUUACCUACUGGAAACGGUGUCUAAUACCGCAUACCAUCAGAUGUGCCCAGAUGGGUUUAGCCGUGUGGUGGGGUAACGGCUCACCAAGGCGACGAUCCCUAGCUGGUCUGAGAGGAUGACCAGCCACACUGUAACUGAGACACGGUCCAACCUCCUACGGUAGUCAGCAGUGGGGAAUAUUGCACAAUGGUCGCAAGCCUGAUGCAGCCAUGCCGCGUGUAUGAAGAAGGCCUUCGGGUUGUAAAGUACGUUCAGCGGGGAGGCGUUACCCGCAGAAUAAGCACCGGCUAACUCCGUGCCAGCAGCCGCGGUAAUAC
Molecule: ribosomal RNA, 406 nt
Filed under: uncultured bacterium
Lineage: Bacteria
Description: partial 16S ribosomal RNA
Rfam family: Bacterial small subunit ribosomal RNA
Source: RNAcentral